RNAcentral lists this ribosomal RNA (451 nucleotides) under uncultured bacterium. RNAcentral describes it as "partial 16S ribosomal RNA". It matches the Rfam family "Bacterial small subunit ribosomal RNA", at positions 354 to 796 of the family's 1533-position model. The record is from RNAcentral.
GUGGGGAAUAUUGGACAAUGGGGGGAACCCUGAUCCAGCCAUGCCGCGUGUGUGAAGAAGGCCUUUUGGUUGUAAAGCACUUUAAGCGAGGAGGAGGCUACCGAGAUUAAUACUCUUGGAUAGUGGACGUUACUCGCAGAAUAAGCACCGGCUAACUCUGUGCCAGCAGCCGCGGUAAUACAGAGGGUGCAAGCGUUAAUCGGAUUUACUGGGCGUAAAGCGCGCGUAGGUGGCCAAUUAAGUCAAAUGUGAAAUCCCCGAGCUUAACUUGGGAAUUGCAUUCGAUACUGGGUGGCUAGAGUAUGGGAGAGGAUGGUAGAAUUCCAGGUGUAGCGGUGAAAUGCGUAGAGAUCUGGAGGAAUACCGAUGGCGAAGGCAGCCAUCUGGCCUAAUACUGACACUGAGGUGCGAAAGCAUGGGGAGCAAACAGGAUUAGAAACCCCAGUAGUCC